Molecule: ribosomal RNA, 478 nt
Filed under: uncultured bacterium
Lineage: Bacteria
Description: partial 16S ribosomal RNA
Rfam family: Bacterial small subunit ribosomal RNA
Source: RNAcentral
GACGAACGCUGGCGGCGUGCUUAACACAUGCAAGUCGAACGGUAAGGCCCUUCGGGGUACACGAGUGGCGAACGGGUGAGUAACACGUGGGUGAUCUGCCCUGCACUUCGGGAUAAGCCUGGGAAGCUGGGUCUAAUACCGGAUAGGACCACUGCCUGCAUGGGUGGUGGUGGAAAGCUUUUGCGGUGUGGGAUGGGCCCGCGGCCUGUCAGCUUGUUGGUGGGGUGAUGGCCUACCAAGGCGACGACGGGUAGCCGGCCUGAGAGGGUGACCGGCCACACUGGGACUGAGAUACGGCCCAGACUCCUACGGGAGGCAGCAGUGGGGAAUAUUGCACAAUGGGCGCAAGCCUGAUGCGGCGACGCCGCGUGAGGGAUGACGGCCUUCGGGUUGUAAACCUCUUUCAGCACCGACGAAGCGCAAGUGACGGUAGGUGCAGAAGAAGGACCGGCCAACUACGUGCCAGCCGCCGCAGUAA